AUUGAACGCUGGCGGCAUGCCUUACACAUGCAAGUCGAACGGCAGCACGGGUGCUUGCACCUGGUGGCGAGUGGCGAACGGGUGAGUAAUACAUCGGAACAUGUCCUGUAGUGGGGGAUAGCCCGGCGAAAGCCGGAUUAAUACCGCAUACGAUCUACGGAUGAAAGCGGGGGACCUUCGGGCCUCGCGCUAUAGGGUUGGCCGAUGGCUGAUUAGCUAGUUGGUGGGGUAAAGGCCUACCAAGGCGACGAUCAGUAGCUGGUCUGAGAGGACGACCAGCCACACUGGGACUGAGACACGGCCCAGACUCCUACGGGAGGCAGCAGUGGGGAAUUUUGGACAAUGGGCGAAAGCCUGAUCCAGCAACGCCGCGUGUGUGAAGAAGGCCUUCGGGUUGUAAAGCACUUUUGUCCGGAAAGAAAUCCUUGGCUCUAAUACAGUCGGGGGAUGACGGUACCGGAAGAAUAAGCACCGGCUAACUACAUGCCAGCAGCCGCGGUAAUACGUAGGGUGCGAGCGUUAAUCGGAAUUACUGGGCGUAAAGCGUGCGCAGGCGGUUUGCUAAGACCGAUGUGAAAUCCCCGGGCUCAACCUGGGAACUGCAUUGGUGACUGGCAGGCUAGAGUAUGGCAGAGGGGGGUAGAAUUCCACGUGUAGCAGUGAAAUGCGUAGAGAUGUGGAGGAAUACCGAUGGCGAAGGCAGCCCCCUGGGCCAAUACUGACGCUCAUGCACGAAAGCGUGGGGAGCAAACAGG
Molecule: ribosomal RNA, 755 nt
Filed under: uncultured Burkholderia sp.
Lineage: Bacteria; Pseudomonadati; Pseudomonadota; Betaproteobacteria; Burkholderiales; Burkholderiaceae
Description: bacterial SSU rRNA
Rfam family: Bacterial small subunit ribosomal RNA
Source: RNAcentral